RNAcentral lists this long non-coding RNA (1458 nucleotides) under Androctonus crassicauda. The record is from RNAcentral. Lineage: Eukaryota; Metazoa; Arthropoda; Arachnida; Scorpiones; Buthidae.
UUUAUAUAAAAUAUUUUAGAUAAUUUUUGUUAUUUUUUUUUUUUUGCAAAUAAUAAUAACAAUAAUUUAUUUCUUAGUAGAUAUGUAUAAGAAUCGUAUUAUUUUCUGUAUUAAUAAGUGCAACGAUUCGUGAAAGACGUAAUGGAUAAAAAGGUCUUGGGUAAUAAUCCUGGGAGAGAAUGCUAUAAAUGCGAUUUGGAGCAGGAAAACGAUAGACAUGAGCGAUGGUUUGUGUGAGAACAUUCAUACGAAUUGGUAUUACUAUUGUAUAGAAUAAUGAUAGAUAAUGCAUCCGUUGUUAUUCGGGUCUUAAUAAACGUGAAGGACAAACCGGAUUGAUAAUUGCUUAAAGAGAUUCUUAUUCCCUUUCUAAUUGUAAGAAAAGAAUGACAUAAAAUAAAUGUUAGAAUGAUAUAAAAGAAAAGAAAAUAGUUAUGUGAGAUUUCACCAUCAAAUGAUUAAUGUAACAUUAAAUAUAUUCGAAAUGACGCAAUCCUAUUUAAAAAAAAAAAUAUGCCGAGGUGAGACUGUCAACAUUUUUGAUGUAUAGAAGUGAGAUUUGGAUAUGAUGAACUGUGCAUGACUCUCGCACAGAUGUGCUAUCUGGGAAUUGAUUGAUUGAUGCGAAUGUAAGGAAUGAUGAUAUAUUGAAACGUGCCAUGUUAAACAGUAUGUGAUUUAAGAUUGGCACCUGUAUGUGCUAAACUGGUUUAGACAGGUCAGAACUCACAAUGGACAAUUAUGAUAAUGUGUAAAGGUAGAUAGAAGUCGAGAAAAAUCAUGACCUUAGAAAGGAUCUCUCUCGAUGUUUUUCUACUAAAGGAUAAACUUCGGUGCGAAAAGGAAAAUAAAACGAAAAAUUGAAAUAUUGAAUUUGAAUAAUUUAAAGGAGUUUUAUAUAAUAGUAAAAUGCGCCAGAGAAAACUUGUGUGUGAUGUACGGGAUUAUUUUAUGUAACAUGUGUUAGUCAUAAAAUAUUUACAUAACUGUAUUAUUACGAUAUUUAUGAAGAAGAGACAUUCAUUUUUUAUAACACGUAAACCAACUAAUUUGCAAUAUUUGCAUACAAAUAUGCGAUCCAUACAGGAAAAUGCCAAACGAGGAAAGAAAAACAUACAAAAAUUGUAUCGGACUUUUUCUAUAUUUAGAAAAUUUAAUUGUCGUGCAUUUUUUAAUUAAAAAUAACAACAAUUUUCUAGAAUUGAAACAAAUUUAUUUAAUAAUAUGCUAUUUAUAGAAUCAGCAAUAAUGCACACACGAUUCGAUGAUUUUCGGCAUUCGGUGAUGCAUACGAAAUGUAUUAUUAUUAUUAUUAUUACCAGUUAUCUUUUAUGUAUUUAUAGAAUUUUAUUGAACUUGAUUUCCAUUAAAAAACUAUUAAAUUUUAGUAUAUUUUACUCAAAUGUCAAAAAUUGGAUAGAUAUCAAAUUACAUUUUUGAGUUAAAAAAAAAAAACGC